This 497-nucleotide ribosomal RNA is filed under the name uncultured bacterium. RNAcentral's name for it is "partial 16S ribosomal RNA". It matches the Rfam family "Bacterial small subunit ribosomal RNA", at positions 28 to 507 of the family's 1533-position model. The record is from RNAcentral.
GAUGAACGCUGGCGGCGUGCCUAAUACAUGCAAGUCGAGCGAACAGAUAAGGAGCUUGCUCCUUUGACGUUAGCGGCGGACGGGUGAGUAACACGUGGAUAACCUACCUAUAAGACUGGGAUAACUUCGGGAAACCGGAGCUAAUACCGGAUAACAUAUUGAACCGCAUGGUUCAAUAGUGAAAGGCGGCUUUGCUGUCACUUAUAGAUGGAUCCGCGCCGGAUUAGCUAGUUGGUAAGGUAACGGCUUACCAAGGCAACGAUACGUAGCCGACCUGAGAGGGUGAUCGGCCACACUGGAACUGAGACACGGUCCAGACUCCUACGGGAGGCAGCAGUAGGGAAUCUUCCGCAAUGGGCGAAAGCCUGACGGAGCAACGCCGCGUGAGUGAUGAAGGUCUUCGGAUCGUAAAGCUCUGUUAUCAGGGAAGAACAAAUGUGUAAGUAACUGUGCACAUCUUGACGGUACCUGAUCAGAAAGCCACGGCUAACUACGUG